CAGAAAGAAGCAAAAGAGAGAUGCUGGCCAAAAGCCUGGACUAGUGGAUGCAGCUAAUGCCACUAGCUCAAGAAAUCACAAUCAUGUACAGAAGACCAAGAGCGAAAAGCUCAGACAGACAUGAAUGAGGGUCUCUGAUGACACCUCGCACUCCCACAAUCACUGUCAGGUGUAUUAAUGGAAAUGCAGUGAAACACCUCUGGAGUUUGCAGGAUGAUGCCAGUAAAUGGGAAGGUCUCCGCAGAAUCUCAUUAUUUCAGGGCUCAGAAAACUGACGUCCUUCAGUGGUUC
This is a long non-coding RNA of Carassius carassius (crucian carp), 291 nucleotides long. RefSeq lists it as uncharacterized. Lineage: Eukaryota; Metazoa; Chordata; Actinopteri; Cypriniformes; Cyprinidae. The transcript is spliced from 3 exons. The record is from RefSeq and is a predicted model, not a curated record.